GGCGAUCAGAUACCGCCCUAGUUUUGACCGUAAACGAUGCCAACUAGCGAUCUGCCAGUCGACUCAUCGCUCUGGUGGGGAGCUUCCCGGAAACGAAAGUCUUCCGGUUCCGGGGGAAGUAUGGUUGCAAAGCUGAAACUUAAAGGAAUUGACGGAAGGGCACCACCAGGAGUGGAGCCUGCGGCUUAAUUUGACUCAACACGGGGAAACUCACCCGGCCCGGACACCGUAAGGAUUGACAGAUUGAUAGCUUUUUCAUGAUUCGGUGGAUGGUGGUGCAUGGCCGUUCUUAGUUCGUGGAGCGAUUUGUCUGGUUUAUUCCGAUAACGAGCGAGACUCUGGCCUACUAAAUAGUUGACGCAUUGCCACUGUGCGCACAACUUCUUAGAGGGAUUUUCGGUGUUUUCAACCGCACGAAAUUGAGCAAUAACAGGUCUGUGAUGCCCUUAGAUGUCCGGGGCUGCACGCGCGCUACACUGGCAAACGCAACGUGCCUGUCCUGCCCCGAAAGGAGCGGGUAAACCCCUGAAAUUUUGCCGUGAUUGGGAUCGGACAUUGCAACUAUUGUCCGUGAACGAGGAAUUCCUUGUAGGGGCGAGUCAUCAACUCGUCCCGAAUACGUCCCUGCCCUUG
This 633-nucleotide ribosomal RNA is filed under the name Rotylenchulus reniformis. RNAcentral describes it as "SSU rRNA". It matches the Rfam family "Eukaryotic small subunit ribosomal RNA", at positions 1003 to 1662 of the family's 1831-position model. Lineage: Eukaryota; Metazoa; Nematoda; Chromadorea; Rhabditida; Hoplolaimidae. The record is from RNAcentral.